GCUUCGAUGGCACACGGUGGUAGAUUGUAUCCCGAUCGAUUUUUUUUUCACUUUUGUUUCAGUUUUGUUAGGUGAUGUUGAAUAGUUUGUUUGUUGUGUUGUUGUCAAUGAAGUUGUUGGUGUUAAGGUGAGGAUGAUGAUAAGGGUGGUGUGGUUUUUAUGGUGAGAAAAUGAGUUGAAGGUGAAGAUGAUGAUAUUUAGUAAAUAAUAUGAAUGAAGUUUUUGUGUGUUAUGUUGAAGAUGGAGUUGAGUUGUGUUUGAGAGAUUGAAAGGUGAAGAUAUUUUUUCUAAGUUUUGUUGUUGU
RNAcentral lists this long non-coding RNA (304 nucleotides) under Lathyrus oleraceus (garden pea). Its description in RNAcentral is "Pisum sativum (pea) long non-coding RNA (PSAT_LNC020121)". Lineage: Eukaryota; Viridiplantae; Streptophyta; Magnoliopsida; Fabales; Fabaceae. The record is from RNAcentral.